GAUGAACGCUGGCGGCGUGCCUAAUACAUGCAAGUCGAGCGAACAGAUGAGGAGCUUGCUCCUCUGACGUUAGCGGCGGACGGGUGAGUAACACGUGGAUAACCUACCUAUGAGACUGGGAUAACUUCGGGAAACCGGAGCUAAUACCGGAUAAUAUAUUGAACCGCAUGGUUCAAUAGUGAAAGACGGUUUUGCUGUCACUUAUAGAUGGAUCCGCGCCGCAUUAGCUAGUUGGUAAGGUAACGGCUUACCAAGGCAACGAUGCGUAGCCGACCUGAGAGGGUGAUCGGCCACACUGGAACUGAGACACGGUCCAGACUCCUACGGGAGGCAGCAGUAGGGAAUAUUCCGCAAUGGGCGAAAGCCUGACGGAGCAACGCCGCGUGAGUGAUGAAGGUCUUCGGAUCGUAAAACUCUGUUAUUAGGGAAGAACAAAUGUGUAAGUAACUAUGCACGUCUUGACGGUACCUAAUCAGAAAGCAACGGCUAACUACGUG
RNAcentral lists this ribosomal RNA (497 nucleotides) under uncultured bacterium. RNAcentral describes it as "partial 16S ribosomal RNA". It matches the Rfam family "Bacterial small subunit ribosomal RNA", at positions 28 to 507 of the family's 1533-position model. The record is from RNAcentral.